This 320-nucleotide ribosomal RNA is filed under the name uncultured eukaryote. RNAcentral's name for it is "partial 18S ribosomal RNA". It matches the Rfam family "Eukaryotic small subunit ribosomal RNA", at positions 1470 to 1796 of the family's 1831-position model. The record is from RNAcentral.
CCCCUAGAUGUUCUGGGCCGCACGCGCGCUACACUGAACAGUUCAACAAGUCUUAACCUUGGCCGAUAGGUCUGGGUAAUCUUUGAACGCUGUUCGUGAUUGGGAUAGACCUUUGCAAUUAUGGGUCUUCAACGAGGAAUUCCUAGUAAACGCAAGUCAUCAGCUUGCAUUGAUUACGUCCCUGCCCUUUGUACACACCGCCCGUCGCACCUACCGAGUGAAUGGUCCGGUGAAAUCUCGGGACGGCGGCUUGGUCGCUUGCGUCCGACUGCUGAAACUUGAUUAAACCAUAUCAUUUAGAGGAAGGUGAAGUCGUANCA